RNAcentral lists this transfer RNA (82 nucleotides) under bacterium. RNAcentral's name for it is "tRNA-Tyr". It matches the Rfam family "tRNA". Rfam says of the family: Transfer RNA (tRNA) molecules are approximately 80 nucleotides in length. Their secondary structure includes four short double-helical elements and three loops (D, anti-codon, and T loops). The record is from RNAcentral.
GGGCAGGUAGCCAAGUGGUCAACGGCGUCUGACUGUAAAUCAGAUGGCAUCGCCUUCGGGGGUUCGAGUCCCUCCCUGCCCA